AUGUCAAAAAGAAUUUUUAUCUUAUCAUUUUGCAAAUGAUUAAUAAUUCUUCUCACACA
Molecule: transfer RNA, 59 nt
Filed under: Thaumamermis cosgrovei
Lineage: Eukaryota; Metazoa; Nematoda; Enoplea; Mermithida; Mermithidae
Description: tRNA-Ala
Source: RNAcentral